AUACAGAGGGUGCAAGCGUUAAUCGGAAUUACUGGGCGUAAAGAGCACGUAGGCGGUUUGAUUAGUCAGAUGUGAAAGCCCUGGGCUCAACCUGGGAACUGCAUUUGAAACUGUCAAGCUAGAGUAUGGUAGAGGGUAGUGGAAUUCCAGGUGUAGCGGUGAAAUGCGUAGAUAUCUGGAGGAACAUCAGUGGCGAAGGCGGCUACCUGGACCAAUACUGACGCUGAGGUGCGAAAGCGUGGGGAGCAAACAGGAUUAGAAACCCCAGUAGUCC
Molecule: ribosomal RNA, 274 nt
Filed under: uncultured bacterium
Lineage: Bacteria
Description: partial 16S ribosomal RNA
Rfam family: Bacterial small subunit ribosomal RNA
Source: RNAcentral